This 287-nucleotide ribosomal RNA is filed under the name uncultured bacterium. Its description in RNAcentral is "partial 16S ribosomal RNA". It matches the Rfam family "Bacterial small subunit ribosomal RNA", at positions 773 to 1060 of the family's 1533-position model. The record is from RNAcentral.
GUGGAUUAGAUACCCUGGUAGUCCACGCCGUAAACGUUGGGCACUAGGUGUGGGACUCUAUCGACGGGUUCCGUGCCGUAGCUAACGCAUUAAGUGCCCCGCCUGGGGAGUACGGCCGCAAGGCUAAAACUCAAAGGAAUUGACGGGGGCCCGCACAAGCGGCGGAGCAUGUGGCUUAAUUCGAUGCAACGCGAAGAACCUUACCUGGGCUUGACAUGUAGGGAAAAGCCGUAGAAAUACGGUGUCCUUCGGGGUCCUACACAGGUGGUGCACGGCCGUCGACAACU